Molecule: long non-coding RNA, 378 nt
Filed under: Homo sapiens (human)
Lineage: Eukaryota; Metazoa; Chordata; Mammalia; Primates; Hominidae
Description: HSALNT0375293
Source: RNAcentral
GGUGCUGGCGCAGGCGCUAAGAUGUUUAUAAUAAUUUAAGCUUAACGCUCGGAAAAUACUUUCUAAGGAGCAAGGAAAUGCUUUUUCUGAUGAGAUGGAUCCAGAUGUGGACCACGGCUCACCACAGGAUGACUCCCGCCAGCAUUCCCUGCAGACUCUCAAAGGGCAUCCAUGCAGUGGCGCGUGUGACACUCCACGCAGCAAGGCUCUGCCGCAGGGCCUGGUGUGGACUAAACAGAGUCGGUUAGAAAAGUGUUCUGAUGCAGUCACAGCUUUCAAGGCCUCAGCUUGCAUAAUUACAAGGGGCAGGAGCUGAAAUUUCAUCUGUGCGACAUCAGCUCAAAAGGAGCCGAGACUGGAAGAAACCGGGAGCUAUGA